UAACUAUUAAUUUAAUAAAAAUAUUAAUUUUGUAAAUUAAACAUAAGAAAAACUCUUAUAGUUAU
Molecule: transfer RNA, 65 nt
Filed under: Nasonia vitripennis (jewel wasp)
Lineage: Eukaryota; Metazoa; Arthropoda; Insecta; Hymenoptera; Pteromalidae
Also listed under: 1 other name
Description: tRNA-Thr
Source: RNAcentral